GGCCCCAUCGUCUAGUCCGGUUUAGGAUGCGUGGUUCUCAGCCACGAGGCACGGGUUCAAAUCCCGUUGGGGCUA
Molecule: transfer RNA, 75 nt
Filed under: Candidatus Omnitrophota bacterium
Lineage: Bacteria; Pseudomonadati; Candidatus Omnitrophota
Also listed under: 1 other name
Description: Candidatus Omnitrophica bacterium tRNA-Glu
Rfam family: tRNA
About the family: Transfer RNA (tRNA) molecules are approximately 80 nucleotides in length. Their secondary structure includes four short double-helical elements and three loops (D, anti-codon, and T loops).
Source: RNAcentral